GAGUUUGAUCCUGGCUCAGAACGAACGCUGGCGACGUGGAUUAGGCAUGCAAGUCGAGCGGGAUCUAUAGAGACUGAAUCUUCGGAUGAUGACUCUAUAGUGAGAGCGGCGAACGGGUGAGGAAUACUUGAGUAACUUGCCCCUUUGUUCGGGAUAGCUUCUGGAAACGGAAGGUAAUACCGGAUGUGGUCACCCCUGACAUCAGGGGUUGUCUAAAGGCGGGGAUCCUUCGGGACCUGUCGCAAAGGGAUGGGCUCGAGUCCUAUCAGCUUGUUGGCGGGGUAAUGGCCCACCAAGGCUUANACGGGUAGCUGGUCUGAGAGGAUGGUCAGCCACACUGGGACUGAGACACUGCCCAGACUCCUACGGGAGGCUGCAGUCGAGAAUCAUUCACAAUGCGCGAAAGCGUGAUGAUGCGACGUCNCGUGGAGGAUGAAGGCCCUCGGGUCGUAAACUCCUGUCAAGAGGGAAUAAAUGCUAUAGGGUUAAUAACCUUAUGGUUUGACGGUACCUCUAGAGGAAGCCACGGCUAACUUCGUGCCAGCAGCCGCGGUAAUACAAAGGUGGCNAGCGUUGUUCGNAUUUACUGGGCGUAAAGGGUGCGUAGGCGGUCUUGUAUGUCA
Molecule: ribosomal RNA, 623 nt
Filed under: uncultured bacterium
Lineage: Bacteria
Description: bacterial SSU rRNA
Rfam family: Bacterial small subunit ribosomal RNA
Source: RNAcentral